RNAcentral lists this ribosomal RNA (253 nucleotides) under uncultured bacterium. Its description in RNAcentral is "partial 16S ribosomal RNA". It matches the Rfam family "Bacterial small subunit ribosomal RNA", at positions 524 to 776 of the family's 1533-position model. The record is from RNAcentral.
UACGUAGGGUGCAAGCGUUGUCCGGAAUUACUGGGCGUAAAGGGCGCGUAGGCGGUUCGAUAAGUCCCGUGUGAAAUCCCUCGGCUCAACUGAGGAACUGCACGGGAAACUGACGGGCUUGAGUUCGGGAGAGGGAAGCGGAAUUCCGGGUGUAGCGGUGAAAUGCGUAGAUAUCCGGAGGAACACCGGUGGCGAAGGCGGCUUCCUGGACCGACACUGACGCUGAGGCGCGAAAGCUAGGGGAGCAAACGGG